Molecule: ribosomal RNA, 253 nt
Filed under: uncultured bacterium
Lineage: Bacteria
Description: partial 16S ribosomal RNA
Rfam family: Bacterial small subunit ribosomal RNA
Source: RNAcentral
UACGUAGGGGGCAAGCGUUGUCCGGAUUUAUUGGGCGUAAAGAGCGUGUAGGCGGCUUUGCAAGUCCGUUGUGAAAACUCGAGGCUCAACCUCGAGACGCCGGUGGAAACUGCAAAGCUAGAGUCCGGAAGAGGAGAGUGGAAUUCCUGGUGUAGCGGUGAAAUACGCAGAUAUCAGGAAGAACACCCGUGGCGAAGGCGGCUCUCUGGGACGGUACUGACGCUGAGACGCGAAAGCGUGGGGAGCGAACAGG